Molecule: ribosomal RNA, 485 nt
Filed under: uncultured bacterium
Lineage: Bacteria
Description: bacterial SSU rRNA
Rfam family: Bacterial small subunit ribosomal RNA
Source: RNAcentral
GAUGAACGCUAGCGGCAGGCCUAACACAUGCAAGUCGAGGGGCAUCGCGGUGCAGCAAUGCACUGGCGGCGACCGGCGUACGGGUGCGUAACGCGUAUGCAACCUGCCCCGCACCGGGGGAUAGCCCGCCGAAAGGCGGAUUAAUACCCCAUGGUCCCGGGGGCCCGCAUGGGCAUCCGGGUAAAGCCUUGGCGGUGCGGGAUGGGCAUGCGUGCCAUUAGCUGGCUGGUGGGGUAACGGCCCACCAGGGCAACGAUGGCUAGGGGGUCUGAGAGGAUGGUCCCCCACACUGGUACUGAGACACGGACCAGACUCCUACGGGAGGCAGCAGUGAGGAAUAUUGGUCAAUGGGCGGAAGCCUGAACCAGCCAUGCCGCGUGCGGGAUGAAGGCCCUACGGGUUGUAAACCGCUUUCCCCGGGAAGAAUAACCCCGAUGAGUCGGGGGAUGCCGGUACCGGGGGAAUAAGGAUCGGCUAACUCCGUG